CGAAAAUUGAGGUGUGAAAAAAGAAAUAAAUGUGAAGCUGAAGAUGUAAACGGCAAAAAAUAAUCUUCUUUAAGUGGUAAAAGCUAAGCAUAAGUGAAAGUGGACAUUUUUGUUACUGUAUACUAUUUUUUAUGAGAUUCUGGAAUGAAUGGUGCUAAUACAUUAUUUAAUUGUGCUAAUACAUGAUGUUGAUAAGACGGUAGAAUUAAUUUUGUUUCCAACCCCCCACCCCCCAACAAACAAAGAAUAGAACUUCUCUUUUGUCAUUGUUAUAGUUAUUAUUGCAGUUUUCUAAAUAUGGAUGAUGUUUUAUGAGCAGAAGGAGGAGAUGAUGGGAAAGUUUAACAAAGCCCAAGUAGCUAACCAAUCGCUGGAUGAUUCAAUUUCUAAGAUUCAAAGUGAGCUGCCUUCAACUAAGGAUCCUCUAAUUCCACGGAUAACUGAAGAGGUUCCUUCCUUGAGCACAGAUUCUGGAGGACGUAGGCCCAGAAAGAAGACAUUUAUGGUUAUUGGGAUAAACACGACCUUCAGUAGUAGAAAAAGGCGCGAUUCUAUUAGAAAGACUUGGAUGCCUCAAGGUGCAAAGCUACAUAGAUUAGAGCGAGAAAAGGGGAUCGUUGUGCGUUUCAUGAUAGGCCACAGGUAUGAUCUGCAUUGCUCCAUAUCUUCUUCAUGCCAAACUAGAUGCUCAUUCAUCAAUGAGUUUCUACUGGAGUCUCAUAUUGUUUCUUGCCAAAAGAGUGAUAAUAUGCUUCCUGUUCUUUGUUUUAAAUAUCCUCUGCUUCACUUAGAAGUUGAAUGUAUGAUUAGCUUUUCAAGAGAUAUACGAAGGAAAUUAUCAUUUAGAAGCUUUGUUAAGAGUUAGUAAUUCACUACUAAAGAUGGACUGGAAAGAUUUAAGACAAGAUAUAGAGAACUGCAAGUGAGUGAUUACAGAAUCAUUCAUCUGUAAUCUACCAGUCUGGCACCUUUUUCCUUUUCUAUCUGGUAAUGUGCAGCAUGCAACUCUUCAAUGAAGCUGUAAGAAGUUCAUUUUGCUGCUUAAAGGAACUUGCAAGAACUUUGAAUCUUCUAUAAAACAAUAUUUGCCUUCAUAAACGAAUGUGUGUUUUUAUCCCACUCUUUCUGCAUUUCUAAGAACUAAAUACUAAAGGUAUAUAAAGUUGGUAUUCUAACUAAAUCGGAAAGAGCAGCAACUCGACGUGACUUUUGGGAGUGGGAAUGCCAUUUGUCGCAUAAGUUAUGAUGAUCCAUGUUAAUUUUCCUAUUGUAGCUUCAAAAUGAUCAAAUGAAAGGAUAUUAGCUUUUCUUAAGGUUGUAGAUUUGAAUCAAUGACAUUCAAUGCUUCGAUUUACUUCUGUCUUUAGAAUGUCAAGACGAGUGAAUAUCUUGCCAUGAGCAGUACCUCUCAGUUGCUUAGAGCAAUCAAUUUAGUUAGACGUGAAUUACUAUGUUAUUGCAUUUGUGCUGAUAUUGCAAAUGUGAAAGGCAAAGUAACAACAUCCCUUAUGAGUUUCAUGUUUGAUGGUUUCUAUACUUUUCAAUCUUGGGUAGAUAUAUCACGGGCCCAGGAGUAUGGUUUUAACUUGAUGCCCAACAUGAUAAGAACAAGUGUAGCAUAAGUGUUUUCUUUUGUCUUCUUUUUUUUGUUUCUUUUAAUUGAAAUUUUAAAUAGCAGCAUGAAAGUUUACUUUGUAUCAGAAUAGGAAAGGUUUUUUCUAGAGCUAAAUGGUGCAUUUGGAUAUAAAUGUGGGAGAUUGAUUCACUUGUGCAAACUGUAUCUUUCACGAUACUAAGUCAUAGAUAAGCCAUGAGAGAUUCAGACACAGUAUGUUGCACAUUUUCUCACCUGUUCUAGAGGCAGUUUACAACUUCGUAAUUUUCGAGAGCAAGAAGGGCAUAAUCGUUACACUUGUUUGAGAGCUUAUUACAAAACCAGCUAAAGGAUAAGUUGAAAUAUUAUGUAUUAGUAGGUUUAAAGUUGCUCACCCUCCUCUCAAUGAAAAAGAGAAAGUCAGACUUGAGAAGGACAUGCUGAUUUUAGAAUCAUACAUCUAUUUGAAGUAAGUAAAUGCUACCAUAUCUCCAUUGAUAAUAUGUAUUGUUGCUAUGAGAUCUUUCUUUUUUGGCAUGUCAAUCAAGUAAACUUAUGAGUAUAAGAAUGGUAAAAAGAAAGCAUUAGAAAGGAAGGAUUGUUUUUCAUGAAAAAGAGAAGUGAAAUGCACAUGAA
Molecule: RNA transcript, 2230 nt
Organism: Solanum tuberosum (potato)
Lineage: Eukaryota; Viridiplantae; Streptophyta; Magnoliopsida; Solanales; Solanaceae
Gene name: beta-1,3-galactosyltransferase 7-like
Exons: 4
Source: RefSeq, a predicted model, not a curated record